AACUGGUGCGGACCAGGGGAAUCCGACUGGUUAAUUAAAGCCAAGCAUCGCCAAGGCCCACGGCGGGGGCUGACGCGCUGGGAUUUCUGCCCAGAGCUCUCAGUGUCAAAGGGAAGAAAUUCAGUGAAGUGCAGGUUAACGGUGGGAGUAACUAUCACUCUCCUAAGGUGGGAGUAGAGUUACUGACUGGGCUCAGCCGCAGUGGUCGCACCUCCUCGUGGUCCCGCUGGAU
RNAcentral lists this non-coding RNA (232 nucleotides) under Manacus vitellinus (golden-collared manakin). Its description in RNAcentral is "Eukaryotic large subunit ribosomal RNA". It matches the Rfam family "Eukaryotic large subunit ribosomal RNA", at positions 2112 to 2316 of the family's 3401-position model. The record is from Rfam by way of RNAcentral. Lineage: Eukaryota; Metazoa; Chordata; Aves; Passeriformes; Pipridae.